ACGUAGGGACCAAGCGUUGUUCGGAUUUACUGGGCGUAAAGGGCGCGUAGGCGGCAAUUCAAGUCAGCUGUGAAAUCUCCGGGCUUAACUCGGAACGGUCAGCUGAUACUGUGCGACUAGAGUGCAGAAGGGGCAACUGGAAUUCUCGGUGUAGCGGUGAAAUGCGUAGAUAUCGAGAGGAACACCUGCGGCGAAGGCGGGUUGCUGGGCUGACACUGACGCUGAGGCGCGAAAGCCAGGGGAGCGAACGGGA
This 253-nucleotide ribosomal RNA is filed under the name uncultured prokaryote. RNAcentral's name for it is "partial 16S ribosomal RNA". It matches the Rfam family "Bacterial small subunit ribosomal RNA", at positions 525 to 777 of the family's 1533-position model. The record is from RNAcentral.